This is a non-coding RNA of Nylanderia fulva, 2404 nucleotides long. The record is from RefSeq and is a predicted model, not a curated record. NCBI's taxonomy places the organism in Eukaryota, Metazoa, Arthropoda, Insecta, Hymenoptera, Formicidae.
GCCAGCUCGUCCCGGUUAUCGAUCUCCUCGUGAAUCGAGACGACGCGUUCAAUUACGCACGGUCGUCGUGGAAUGUUUACGCUCGCCGUGGAAAAAAUGCAUCCCGCGCGAGCUGUCACUCUCGCCGAACUGUCACCUGUCACCUGUCAUUGACAGGUGACGUCACGGAUAGAACAUCCUCGCUCCUAACUUCAGAGCGUAUCUCGAAUGGAUGGCCUCGCGAGUUCUUCUCAGAAAAAUCCGAGGUCCAGAAGAUCCCGCGGCGGAGUUCUUGGAAGUUUUUUUGAAGAGGAGGAGGACGCAAGUAGCCGCGGCAGCAGGAGCGACAGGGACCACUGCAUCGCGCUGAUCCGCUGGUACCACGACGGAAGAUUGUCCAGAUGCAGGGUCACUCCGCCGGCCAGACUCAUCUCGCCCACUAUCAGACCGGCGAGCAGAGCCGCCGUGUACGUGGAUUCGCAGACGUGCGCGAAGAAGGUGCAGCCGAGGUGCUGCAGCAUCAGGUACAACAGACCGAUGGCGAGAUAGUGCCACAGUGACGUCAGGUUCUCAUCCGGAGCCAGGUGCAGCCCGGACAUGGCGUACGCCGGCGCCAGGUAUAUCAGGAAUAUAUUGGGACCGGAUCUCGAGGGCGGAAGUGCGCCGGGUGGACCGGGAUCGCUGAGAGGAGGUAACCUCGACCUGGCCAAUUCCGCGAGAUGAUCUAUCCUCUGCGAGGACUCCAGCAUUGCUUCCGCCGAUAAGUCGUCCAACGUCACCAAAUCAACUGGAAGAAGAGCGAUAUAACAUUAUUUGGAAACUCGGCGAGGGCGAAAUAUGGCAGCAUGUCUCUCCUGAGCCCGGAAUACAUGAUCCUGCCGCCGGAGGUGAGCGUGACCCUCGAGACCAUCGUCAGGAUCUCGUACGUGGGCGGAUGCAGGGUGAGGAUGACGAGCCGCUGGCCACGACUGGCCCACUGCCUCAGGUAUUCGACCAGGAAGAAGGCGUCGAAGAUGUCCAGACCGUGCGUGGGCCUGUCCAGAGCGAGGACGUGCGAGUCUUGCAGCAGUCGACAAGCUAAGGCCAGUCGUCGGGCCUCGGAGGUCGUCAGGGUGUUCACCAGGCAGUGCUUGGUUGCCUCCAGGCCUAGCUCCUGCAGAACGGCCUCGGCUUCCAGCGCGGUGGUGUUGCGGCCGCCUCUUAGCAACAUGUAGAAGUUCAGGGUCUGCUGAGCCGUCAGUCCGGGACUCAAACCACUCUCCGUUGGCAGGUAAGCAACGCGAGAUCUGUUUGAAUUGAAGAGAAUAUUAUUUUGAACUGAAUCUGUGCGCGUAGAUAAUUAACCCGGAUAAUUAAUAUCCAAAUGAUUAAUAUGUAUAAUUAUCAAAGAGUUGAAUCUGGAUGUAAAAAUAAUUUGCCAAGCGCAAGAUUUAUUGCAAUUCUAUAAAAUGCAAAUUGUAGUCGAGAAUCGAAUAUUUUCGUGCAAUAAAGAAUUAAUACAUUAGUUACGUGAAACACUUUGCAAAGUUGUUCAAAUGAUGCGAAACUGAGAAGUUACACAAGAUUAAAUAUUGAACAGCAAUAAUAGAGGCAAUAAUAGCGGAAGCGACAAUUGAGGCGAUAAUUGAAUAAUGAGCGCUGCUUGUUAUUCUAACUUAAUGUCCAACUAUAUGAAAAUUUGCAUCCUAAUGCUCUCUCACUAGUUAUUACUUGCUAGUUACACCAUGUUUCGUUAAUGUCGGUUACCGUUAUAUAGCCGUGGUUAACUAAAUCUUUCUUUUCUGCUUGGAUCAUAGGCAGCGCUAUGAUCUAGAAAAAGAAAAGGGAGACUGAAUGAGCCAAGCUGCAGCGAACAUGUUACCGGCCAUGAAAAUCUCUUAUAGUUUUACUUCCAUUAAACAUCCAUAACUAUUUUAUACGUCAACCGGUGCAUUUUUUAUUGUACAAAAUUUUUUUUUUAAAUUUUAAAUUGAGGUGUUUCUUCUACAAAGCAACAGCUAUCAAUUGCGCAACGCGUAGUGACUCAUUGCUACGUACUACAGGAAAGCGUACGUAUAUGAACGUGCAGGAAGAAGAUUAGAAAGUAUACCUCAGAGUACGUGCCGAUACGGAUCUUCCAUUGAGCAGAAUAUCGCCUCUCUUUAUGCGUCUUCUGCCAGCGAUCGUCUCGACGAUCUGCGUGCCUUCCUUCUCCGUGGUAGCCAUGAUGGCCAGCAGCUCGGCGGCACCGGCCUCGAGGGUGACACCACGAAGAAGCGGCAGUCCGUCCGAGCCUGAAGCCUCCACACCUCGCAGCUGCAAGUGAGGAUGCUGCAGACACGCCACGGGUCUCAAUGGCAGCGCGUAACCUUCCGGUCCCAGGAUACCCGGGUGGCCUGCAAAAUUUGAUAAAAAUUAAUUUAGAAAAAAGAAAGAAUUUGUUAAC